AUUGAACGCUGGCGGCAUGCUUUACACAUGCAAGUCGAACGGCAGCGCGGGCUUCGGCCUGGCGGCGAGUGGCGAACGGGUGAGUAAUACAUCGGAACGUGCCCAGUAGUGGGGGAUAGCUCGGCGAAAGCCGGAUUAAUACCGCAUACGACCUGAGGGUGAAAGCGGGGGAUCUUCGGACCUCGCGCUAUUGGAGCGGCCGAUGGCAGAUUAGCUAGUUGGUGGGGUAAAGGCCUACCAAGGCGACGAUCUGUAGCUGGUCUGAGAGGACGACCAGCCACACUGGGACUGAGACACGGCCCAGACUCCUACGGGAGGCAGCAGUGGGGAAUUUUGGGCAAUGGGCGAGAGCCUGAUCCAGCAAUGCCGCGUGUGUGAUGAAGGCCUUCGGGUUGUAAAGCACUUUUGGCGGGAACGAAAAGGACUGUGCCAAUACCACGGUUCGAUGACGGUACCCGCAGAAUAAGCACCGGCUAACUACGUA
This 484-nucleotide ribosomal RNA is filed under the name uncultured bacterium. Its description in RNAcentral is "partial 16S ribosomal RNA". It matches the Rfam family "Bacterial small subunit ribosomal RNA", at positions 29 to 507 of the family's 1533-position model. The record is from RNAcentral.